Non-coding RNA from Phrynosoma platyrhinos (Desert horned lizard), 73 nucleotides. NCBI's taxonomy places the organism in Eukaryota, Metazoa, Chordata, Lepidosauria, Squamata, Phrynosomatidae. The record is from the annotation of a GenBank genome assembly.
GCCGGUGUGGCAUAGUGGUUUGAGCACUGGACUAGGAUUCUGGGAGACCAGGGUUUGAAUCAUAGCUUCGGCC